Molecule: ribosomal RNA, 407 nt
Filed under: uncultured bacterium
Lineage: Bacteria
Description: bacterial SSU rRNA
Rfam family: Bacterial small subunit ribosomal RNA
Source: RNAcentral
UGGGGAAUAUUGGGCAAUGGGCGAAAGCCUGACCCAGCAACGCCGCGUGAGGGAAGAAGGCCUUCGGGUUGUAAACCUCUGUCCUUGGUGACGAAGAAAGUGACGGUAGCCAAGGAGGAAGCCCCGGCUAACUACGUGCCAGCAGCCGCGGUAAUACGUAGGGGGCAAGCGUUAUCCGGAAUUACUGGGCGUAAAGGGUGCGUAGGCGGCAUCUUAAGUUGGAUGUGAAAUACCCGGGCUUAACUUGGGGGGUGCAUCCAAUACUGGGGAGCUAGAGUGCAGGAGAGGGAAGCGGAAUUCCUAGUGUAGCGGUGAAAUGCGUAGAUAUUAGGAGGAACACCAGUGGCGAAGGCGGCUUUCUGGACUGUAACUGACGCUGAAGCACGAAAGCGUGGGGAGCAAACAGG